ACGGGAGGCAGCAGUGAGGAAUAUUGGUCAAUGGGCGGAAGCCUGAACCAGCCAAGUCGCGUGAAGGAUGAAGGUUCUAUGGAUUGUAAACUUCUUUUGCUCGAGGGUAAAGUGAUCUACGUGUAGGUUAUUGCAAGUAUCGAGUGAAUAAGCAUCGGCUAACUCCGUGCCAGCAGCCGCGGUAAUACGGAGGAUGCGAGCGUUAUCCGGAUUUAUUGGGUUUAAAGGGUGCGUAGGCGGGAGAUUAAGUCAGCGGUGAAAGUUUGCGGCUCAACCGUAAAAUUGCCGUUGAAACUGGCGUUCUUGAGUGUAAACGAGGUAGGCGGAAUGUGACGUGUAGCGGUGAAAUGCUUAGAUAUGUCACAGAACCCCGAUUGCGAAGGCAGCUUACCAGCAUACAACUGACGCUGAGGCACGAAAGUGCGGGGAUCAAACAGGAUUAGAUACCCUGGUA
RNAcentral lists this ribosomal RNA (454 nucleotides) under uncultured Porphyromonadaceae bacterium. RNAcentral describes it as "partial 16S ribosomal RNA". It matches the Rfam family "Bacterial small subunit ribosomal RNA", at positions 341 to 792 of the family's 1533-position model. The record is from RNAcentral. Lineage: Bacteria; Pseudomonadati; Bacteroidota; Bacteroidia; Bacteroidales; Porphyromonadaceae.